CCUACGGGUGGCAGCAGUGAGGAAUAUUGGUCAAUGGACGGAAGUCUGAACCAGCCAUGCCGCGUGCAGGAAGACGGCUCUAUGAGUUGUAAACUGCUUUUGUACAAGGGUAAACCUGAAUACGUGUAUUCCGCUGAAAGUACUGUACGAAUAAGGCUCGGCUAACUCCGUUCCAGCAGCCGCGGUAAUACGGAGGAUCCAGGCGUUAUCCGGAUUUAUUGGGUUUAAAGGGUGCGUAGGCGGGUUGAUAAGUUAGAGGUGAAAUGUGCGAGCGUAACUCCGGAACUGCCUUUAAUACUGUUGAGCUAGAGAGUAGGUGAGGUAGGCGGAAUGUAUGGUGUAGCGGUGAAAUGCUUAGAGAUCAUGCAGAACACCGAUUGCGAAGGCAGCUUACCAGACUAUAUCUGACGUUGAGGCACGAAAGCGUGGGGAGCAAACAGGAUUAGAUACCCCAGUAGUC
This 460-nucleotide ribosomal RNA is filed under the name uncultured bacterium. Its description in RNAcentral is "partial 16S ribosomal RNA". It matches the Rfam family "Bacterial small subunit ribosomal RNA", at positions 338 to 795 of the family's 1533-position model. The record is from RNAcentral.